Molecule: long non-coding RNA, 914 nt
Organism: Xenia sp. Carnegie-2017
Lineage: Eukaryota; Metazoa; Cnidaria; Anthozoa; Malacalcyonacea; Xeniidae
Exons: 5
Source: RefSeq, a predicted model, not a curated record
UCAACGUACCAUGAUCGGAGAUCUCUUUUACAUUUAAAUGUCGUCUUUACACACUCUUGCAAUGUGUUUUUCAACAUUUAUUGAGUUGAAUGCUGCUAAAACGUCUUUCAAGCGAAGACUGUGUCAAGAUUAGUUAGUAUGCAAGAAGAACAACACAAAGUAUCUAAUACUUUAUCACGUUCAGUUUUUAUUGUGAAACAUGCAGCUGACAAAUUGCAGAAGAAACAAACGUUACAAAAAUGCAUUCCUGAAGUGGCAAGAAAAUUGAAAAGAUUUCAUGGAAGGAAAACGUUUACUAGAGCACCUGUUAGGAGGGGUGGUUAUUUUAUGACAGAGUCAGGAGGGGGUGAAUGCUUUAGCAAAAGUAAUUUAGAGGAAGGAUGGUUACUUCAUAAGUUGAAGAAGUUAUGAAAUAUGUCCUUUGUAAUCAUUGGUUCCCUGUUGUUUAUCUUUGUUCUCCAGUUGAUGAAUGACAUGAUCAUUAAAUGAUUGGAGUUAACACUUGCAUCAUAAUUGGUUAUUUCAAAAGUUAGCAAGAUAUUUUUUUAGUUGCAUCAUUGCCUACUUCCACACAUGCACAUAGCCAAAAAAAGGUACUUUUGAAAGUAUUCAUAAUUUUGGCAAUGUCAUGCAAAUGCUGAAUUGUAAAUUGGGUCACCAAAGACAAAGAAAAAUCUACUUAAAAUUUACAAUAUUUUGAUGCUAUGAUGUACCUAGGUGUGAUGUCGUUUCGAAUGCUUCCUGUGGACACAUACUGGCGUUUGAGGAUGUGGUCUUUCCUUGUUAUGUAUUUACUGUGGUCUUUGGUUUUAUAUUACUGACUGUUAGUGUUCUUGAAAAAUGGAGGUAUACCUGUAUAAUUGCUACAUUCUGACAAGUUUUACUUGAUUAAAACAUGAUUUUAACAUUUGAAA